CGUCAUGGCGGAUCGCGUGGGGAGACCCUCGGGUCUGCCGGUGCCUACUAGCCGGUCUGUCAACCCCGCGCGGUUCGCCACCCUA
Molecule: non-coding RNA, 85 nt
Filed under: Pseudomonas indica
Lineage: Bacteria; Pseudomonadati; Pseudomonadota; Gammaproteobacteria; Pseudomonadales; Pseudomonadaceae
Source: RNAcentral